AAAGAAUUCAUAAAGUAAAGAUUAGACAUUACAAAGAAUUAUGAGAGUUUGAUCUUCAAUGGUUGCUACCCUUGAAUCUCGCCGUCUUCAAAUCCGUCGUAUUCACUAUCUUCUACAAUGCAAUGCUUUCGUUCGUCUGUAAAAAGUUCCCUUCUUAUUUCUCUUCAAAGCCUUCUUAUAGCUUCAUAUGACUCUCCUCAAAGCUAAAGGUCCAAACUACCCUUAAU
RNAcentral lists this long non-coding RNA (227 nucleotides) under Lathyrus oleraceus (garden pea). RNAcentral's name for it is "Pisum sativum (pea) long non-coding RNA (PSAT_LNC011881)". The record is from RNAcentral. Lineage: Eukaryota; Viridiplantae; Streptophyta; Magnoliopsida; Fabales; Fabaceae.